CCUUUUCCCAAACAUACAAUUACACAAUCAUUCCCAAAUGUCAAACUCAACUCACAUCUCUCACCAAAAGAUCCUAAGAACAUUAACUCCUUCUCUUUGAAAUCUACAAGAGAUUUUUCACAACCUCAAAACAUUACUUAGCUCCUAACAACUUUGCUAGCCCCCUUUUUCUUUCUUUUUCUUUUCUUUUCAUAUAAUUUUUUUUUAUUUUUUAUUUUUAAAUGGGGGCCAAAACUUUUCAUAACUUGAGCUAGAUGGUUUUCUACUUAUCCCAGUAAGACAAUUCACUUAAACACAAAGAGUUAUUUC
Molecule: long non-coding RNA, 309 nt
Filed under: Brassica napus (rape)
Lineage: Eukaryota; Viridiplantae; Streptophyta; Magnoliopsida; Brassicales; Brassicaceae
Description: long non-coding RNA (BNAP_LNC009758)
Source: RNAcentral